UAUAAAUAUAUUUCAUACAUGAGACUUUAUGUGCAUGUUUACUAAGCAUAAAGGCUUACUUUCAUUUUUGGUUGCAGGUCCGUGAAUCACUAUCAGGAAAGCUGUCAUUUAACAGUUUGACUCGUCCCAAGAGCACUAGUGCGGAAACAGUUUCAAAUAGACUGGGUGUCUUCCAAAGGAAGCAGAGGAAAAAUGUGUACAACACGUCUGACCACAGUGCAGCUUCACCCUCAAACCGCUUCAGUGCCUCGGACUCAUAAACAUUCUUCAUUAACUACAUGUAACAAAGCCUUUCAUCUGCUGUGAUCUAAGUGUAAUCUCCAUAAUGUGUUUCUGUGAUAAAACUAAUUACUUUAAAAUGUAAUGUAUUAUGUAAUGUAUGUGAUGACUGCUGUUAGUGGCUAAGGUAUAUGUCACAUGUUCAUUUUUACAAGGAC
Molecule: non-coding RNA, 437 nt
Organism: Misgurnus anguillicaudatus (oriental weatherfish)
Lineage: Eukaryota; Metazoa; Chordata; Actinopteri; Cypriniformes; Cobitidae
Source: RefSeq, a predicted model, not a curated record